RNAcentral lists this long non-coding RNA (883 nucleotides) under Bos taurus (domestic cattle). RNAcentral describes it as "long non-coding RNA NONBTAT026859". The record is from RNAcentral. Lineage: Eukaryota; Metazoa; Chordata; Mammalia; Artiodactyla; Bovidae.
GGUCAUUUUCUACCCCAGAUUUCUUAAAGUCUUGUAUGUAUUGAAUGUAAUUGCAGGAGCCAUACACAUAUUCAUUUUAGUUUGGUCACAUAAGGUAUUGAAUCUGAAAUUCUAGCCACAAAUUUGAUGCUGAGUGGACCUAUUCAGGGGACCAAGCUGAACUAGAAAGAACUCAGUUGUUCCAUUGGGUCCCCAGGAUGCCCAGGGCACUGAGGGCAUCAAGUCAGGCUUGCUUUGGGAAGGUCAUUUCCCCACGAUGUCCAGGACUGUUUCUUCAAAGAGAAACUUAGGUCCACCCCAUUCACACUGCACCUGAGGUAUCAGUUCAUUCAUUCAACAAAUUUGUAUUGUGCUAUUGCUAUGACUCAGGCUCCAUGUUUGUGGUUUCAUUUCUUUAUGCCAAAGUGCGAGCCAGAAGGGGGACCAGGGUUACAGGGAGUCUGAGAAUCUGGGCCCUUGCUCCCUAUGUGGCAUAAGUAAAACCAGCUUCAUUUGUUGCUCUGAAAAUAUUUCUCCAGGGUUUUCUAUUUUUGACACACAGAGAGUUACGCCCUGUGUUAUCCUGGUUAUAAGAUGAAAAAUGAGUAUAAAUGCGCUUGUCAUUAUAAGAGCUUCCUUCCUGUUCCCCAGCCACCAGCUGCCCCUGCAGCCUUUUUAGAUUUAGUAUUUAGCAACAGUUACUGAGAGAACAAUUAAGCAUUAUUUUUAAUCUCAAGGCUAUGAAGGCGUUUCUUAUUUCUUUUGCUUUUGCAACAUUGUGUUUAUUAAUUUGAAUACUUGUAGAUGUUGUGUGUGAAUAGUUUGGGAGAGGGGGGGGGCCUGGGAGAUAAUUCUUGGGAAGAACUAUCAAAAUUGCACUCAAUUAUUAAAAUGAAUGAGCUCU